GUGCUUGCUUCAGCAGCACAUAUACUAAAAUUGGAACAAUACAGAGAAGAUUAGCAGGGCCCAGGCACAAGGAUGACAUGCAAACGUGUGAAGUGUUCCAGAUUUUU
Molecule: small nuclear RNA, 107 nt
Organism: Trichechus manatus latirostris (Florida manatee)
Lineage: Eukaryota; Metazoa; Chordata; Mammalia; Sirenia; Trichechidae
Source: RefSeq, a predicted model, not a curated record